CCUACGUGUGGCAGCAGUGAGGAAUAUUGGUCAAUGGACGCAAGUCUGAACCAGCCAUGCCGCGUGCAGGAAGACGGCCCUAUGAGUUGUAAACUGCUUUUGUACGAGGGUAAACGGAGAUACGCGUAUCUGUCUGAAAGUACCGUACGAAUAAGGAUCGGCUAACUCCGUGCCAGCAGCAGCGGUAAUACGGAGGAUGCAAGCGUUAUCCGGAUUUAUUGGGUUGAAAGGGGGCGUAGGCGGUCGGAUAAGUUAGAGGUGAAAGCACGAGGCUCAACUUCGGAAUUGCCUCUGAUACUGGUCGGCUAGCGCGUAGUUGCGGUAGGCGGAAUGUAUGGUGUAGCGGUGAAAUGCUU
Molecule: ribosomal RNA, 356 nt
Filed under: uncultured bacterium
Lineage: Bacteria
Description: partial 16S ribosomal RNA
Rfam family: Bacterial small subunit ribosomal RNA
Source: RNAcentral